AUCCAGCUGACGAGUCUCAAAUAGGACGAAACGUGAGUCCUCGAU
Schistosoma mansoni is the source of this 45-nucleotide non-coding RNA. The record is from Rfam. NCBI's taxonomy places the organism in Eukaryota, Metazoa, Platyhelminthes, Trematoda, Strigeidida, Schistosomatidae.